GAUGAUGGCCAUACCACUCUGAUCCCAUUAACUAAGCAGGGUCAGGCCUGGCCAGUACUUGGAUGGGAGACCACCUGGGAAUACCAGGCUCUGUAGGCU
Cercocebus atys (sooty mangabey) is the source of this 99-nucleotide ribosomal RNA. Lineage: Eukaryota; Metazoa; Chordata; Mammalia; Primates; Cercopithecidae. The record is from Ensembl.